Catharus ustulatus (Swainson's thrush) is the source of this 2575-nucleotide long non-coding RNA. RefSeq lists it as uncharacterized. The transcript has 2 exons. Lineage: Eukaryota; Metazoa; Chordata; Aves; Passeriformes; Turdidae. The record is from RefSeq and is a predicted model, not a curated record.
UGGCUUCUGAGUGCUGGCCCAUCCCCUGAGCCUUUCCAGCCACCCUGAAUGGGACAUGGAGCAGCAGGACAUGGGCCCUGAGAUGACUCCCUUGUUGGUCAUGAUGGAAGUUUUUUGGCUGGCUUAGUCCUGGAGCUGCUGCUGUCGGGAAUUGUCCUCAGAUGGUGCCUUGGCAGAAGGCUCUGGAGAUGCUGGGGAGAGCUGAGGGAGGGGUGUCAGGCAGCUGGGAUGGGGGCAGGGUGAGGAUGAAACAAGGUCUGGUGUCAGGCAAGGCAUGAGAGUCCCCAUGGAGGAGAAAAGCUGGGCUGAUGCUAGGAGUGCUCUUGGGCAGAGCAGUGCAGGGGGAUGUGUGACCAGCGCUCAGCCCAGGCACUGCUGCAUCCCCCACCGUAGGUUUUAGUGAUGCUGUUAGCCAUAGCUCCCCACAGCUUAGCCAUAGCUUCCCAGUAAUCUUUUCCCCUAGAAGAUGAAGCUUUUCUACUGUUCUAGUUCUGAGAAGCUGACAGUCAUUUAGGGGUGAGGUUCUCCCACUGUACUUCUCUCAUAGCCUCAUUUUAGAUUUUUUUAGUAGUCCAGUUGAACAAAGUUCAGCUUUUCUACAUUUUGCUGUGUUAUUUUCUUGAUAUUCCAUCCUUUUAAAAAUAGAGGUCCUUCAUUGGAAGAAGGACUUCUGUUUUCUUCUGAAGGAUCUUGCUGUUUUCUGAGGAAUGCUAACUUUCAUAGGUUACCCAUUCCUACAAGUGCAACAGGACAAAAGACUACAAAUCAGCUUUACAAUUUCAAAACCCACUCUUCCAGCUCUUACACAUCAAUUUUAUUAUCGGAAAUAUUCUGAAGUGAUAUCAAACCAGCACAGAAAAUGAGGAGGAAAAUAAUCCGCAGUUGACAUCACCUGCUAAAGUGCAUUUUAAAUUCAGUUUAAGGUCUCUAGGUGCAAUUUUGAGUGUGUCAAUGGGGACAUUCACACAGAGACACUACCAAUUGGUAGUUUUGGUCUUUCCAGUGAGUUUCCUUUUUGUUUUUUCUUUCACCAAAUUAAGGAAAAACCAAACAAAAGUGACUUUUUAGGUGGGGAAAAGGUAUGGUUGGUUUUUAAGAAAGCAUUUUAUUCUGCCUGUGUAGUAGUCUAUUGGAUAAUAACCUAAAAGGGAGCUUUUAGGAAAAUAUCAGUGUACCAUUGCAGUUGUUCUACCACUGUGAUGAACAACAGACAGGUCUGUAAGACUCCUGCAAUUCAUCCACUUCUCACUGUAGGGAUCACUGGGAAUAAUGACAGUGGAAAAUGUGGAGGUAGCUAGAUAAAAAAAUACCUGCAAUCUCCUUAGUCAAGAAAGAAAAAACAAACCUCAAAACAAAGCUAUAAAAUUAGUUAUCUUCUGAAUUAGGAUAAUUCCAAUUAACUGUUUUAUGACUGCUUUUGGUUCAUAUUCUUAUGUUAAAUAUUAUCAUUUCUAUCUGAAAUAUUCAUCAUUUUUAUGCUUUUCAGAAGUGAAUUACAGACUAAUACACACCCAUCUUCCCAAAAUCUGAUUUUAACCCCACAUGUCUCAGGAUCAACGGAAACUAACCAACAAAGCUUUCCACUGAAGAGAUGGAUACCACCAGCUUAUGAAUUUUGCUAGUACAGAUGUAGUGAAGAAGAAAUAAGUCUUUACUGCCAAAUCAGUUAUGAGUUGUUCUAUUCUACUGCCAGUAUGCUGUGGGUAUAAACAGCAUGCUCUUCACAGUCUCAUCCAUGAAGAAUUCCACUUUAAAAUUAGGUGUGGUUUUGAGUUUGACCAAACAAAUGCAAAUUUUCUAUUAAAACACAGUGAUGGCAGCAGGGUCAGUCUUUACAAUUAAAAUCUGAGAUUUAACAGUACACUCCUGAUCAGAUCUCCAGGGCUGAGUAUACAUGGUUAUUGUGGUGGCUUGGUCCUUGCUGGCAGCCAAUCUUCCACCUAUACAUUGUCUUGUUCCCUCCACUCAGGAUGAAAGGGACAAAAUAAGAAAAGCAGGAACAAGAAAGCUGCCUCAGCAUAAAGACAGGGAGAUCACUGAUUAAACAGACUUAACUUGGAAAAUUGUAUUUAUUACCAUUUAAAAUGAACAUUUAAUUAUAUUAGUAUUUAUUAGUAGUAGAUAGAGACAGCCAACCUGACUCAAAUCGCUAAGCCACCCAUCUUGUUCUGGUAGGAAAACAGAAGGAUGACAAAAAAAAGUGACAUUCCCCUGACAUAAAUGCCUUCACUCCAAUUUUAUUAAAACAAUAUGCUUUUCUGCAUUUAAGAAAUAGCUAAUGAAAAGUUAUUUCUUUAUUCUAAAAAUUACUCUUGUUACAAGGAGCAAUUUAGUUAAUGCUCUUCUAAUUUACAAUAGACACUAAAGUACUCAAACCUAGUUUUCUUUAUACUGAAAUUCUUCAUUAUUAGAUUGGAAACUCCUCAAGACUGGGUCCUGUAAUGUGGUAGGAAGAGUGUUGUUAGGUAACAGAGACAUUACUAAAGACAAGCUGUAUUCCCAUUUUGGAAUGUAUGCAUUUCUUCAGCACACAUAUCACUGAAAUUAAACCUAAUUAAUUACUGAUAAAUGAUCU